Molecule: long non-coding RNA, 1302 nt
Organism: Megalobrama amblycephala (Wuchang bream)
Lineage: Eukaryota; Metazoa; Chordata; Actinopteri; Cypriniformes; Xenocyprididae
Exons: 4
Source: RefSeq, a predicted model, not a curated record
UUUUGAUGCACCAAAAAAACAAAAUAACGACUUAUAUAGAGAUGAGCCGAUUUCAAAACACUGCAUCAGGAAGCUUCGAAGCGUUAUGAAUCAGCGUGUCAAUCAAGACUUGGAGUUAACCGCAGAAUUUUAAUUGUUGGAUGAACUAUCACUUAAAGACAGUAUUAAAGGCAGAAAAGUCUUUUAACCACUGAAAGGCCAUUAUCUUUCUCUGUGUAUGGUCACAACUGUUGUGUCAUGGAGGAGUGCUAUAAAGCGAAGACUUCCAGUGACUCCAAACAUAUAAAAAAUGCUCUGAGUGUGAGUUCUACAAACCAGUGACACCGCAUACAUUACUCUUAUUCAAUUAGUAGACUAUUGAAACCACUACAAAUCAAACUUGUAGAUAACUGGGAGCGUUUUAUACUUCGCCAACUUCUGUGUUGAUAAACUUGGCCAGCCGCUGCUGAAUGAAAACCCCCAACUGACUGAGGGAUGGGAAGUAUCCCAAAUACCAGCAGAUCUUUGGCCAGAUCAUUGUCCUCGAGGGCCAAGAGGUGCAGAUAAAGGAGAAAAGACCUAAACCAUGCUGUUUUAACUGCUGUUCUGAAGGUCAUCAACUGCGAGACUGUCCGGAGCCCAAAGAUAUGGCUCGUAUCAAUGAAAAAAUAAAGGAGUUUCACAGAACAGCAAUCAGAGCAACCAACGCUACCAUGCAGAAGAAGCUGAGGAGCGAUUUGCAAAGUACAAGCCGGGAAUAAUAAGGUCAGCCAUCUUAUGAAGUGUCUUUUUUUUCUUCCUUUUUCUGUUUUUACAAAUAAGUCUCACUUUCCCUGCAGACAAUAAUUUUAGGAAAAUUAAAUCUUUAAACAUUUUUUUCCUGUGAAAAAAUAUCUUCAUGCCUUAAAAUAGCUUGAAUGUAACUCUACACCCUUGUUUCAUUUAGUAUACAUAGGCUCACGAAUAUGAGUCCCCGCCUCCACUCAAACACACCUGCUCGGACUGCUUGAUCCGCUCUGUCAACUUUAGCAAACGCUACACAGUGGCAAGUGGAAAUGUUGGUUUAAUUCAGCCAUAUAUGUUUGAGCCAGAAAAGAAGUGGAAGUAUGAAUUAUACAGGCUCAUCUACAAUGUAUCUGUUAAGCGGAUUCUUAAACACCUCUGAUUAGCCACUGUCUUCACUUGCUCAACAGAUAUGUCUGUGAUUGGCUACAAUGAUCAACGCUUCAAAACCAUGUUGUAAAUAGACAUCUUUGACACUCUUCACCUAUAUUAGGGAUUUCAAAUGCCCCCGUGUGUAUCUGUGUAAGCGCUCGAUGAAGA